GACGACCGCUGGCGGCGUGCUUAACACAUGCAAGUCGAACGGAAAGGCCCUGCUUUUGUGGGGUGCUCGAGUGGCCAACGGGUGAGUAACACGUGAGUAACCUGCCCUUGACUUUGGGAUAACUUCAGGAAACUGGGGCUAAUACCGGAUAGGAGCUCCUGCUGCAUGGUGGGGGUUGGAAAGUUUCGGCGGUUGGGGAUGGACUCGCGGCUUAUCAGCUUGUUGGUGGGGUAGUGGCUUACCAAGGCUUUGACGGGUAGCCGGCCUGAGAGGGUGACCGGCCACAUUGGGACUGAGAUACGGCCCAGACUCCUACGGGAGGCAGCAGUGGGGAAUAUUGCACAAUGGGCGGAAGCCUGAUGCAGCAACGCCGCGUGCGGGAUGACGGCCUUCGGGUUGUAAACCGCUUUCGCCUGUGACGAAGCGUGAGUGACGGUAGUGGGUAAAGAAGCACCGGCUAACUACGUG
Molecule: ribosomal RNA, 468 nt
Filed under: uncultured bacterium
Lineage: Bacteria
Description: partial 16S ribosomal RNA
Rfam family: Bacterial small subunit ribosomal RNA
Source: RNAcentral